This 72-nucleotide transfer RNA is filed under the name Camelus bactrianus (Bactrian camel). It matches the Rfam family "tRNA". Rfam says of the family: Transfer RNA (tRNA) molecules are approximately 80 nucleotides in length. Their secondary structure includes four short double-helical elements and three loops (D, anti-codon, and T loops). Lineage: Eukaryota; Metazoa; Chordata; Mammalia; Artiodactyla; Camelidae. The record is from Rfam by way of RNAcentral. RNAcentral also lists the same sequence under 2 other names.
GGGAGUAUAGCUCAGUGGUAGAGCCCAUGCUUGGCGUGCACGAGGUCCUAGGUUCAAUCCCCUGGGCCUCCA